RNAcentral lists this ribosomal RNA (465 nucleotides) under Vreelandella stevensii. Its description in RNAcentral is "partial 16S ribosomal RNA". It matches the Rfam family "Bacterial small subunit ribosomal RNA", at positions 338 to 795 of the family's 1533-position model. The record is from RNAcentral. Lineage: Bacteria; Pseudomonadati; Pseudomonadota; Gammaproteobacteria; Oceanospirillales; Halomonadaceae.
CCUACGGGCGGCUGCAGUGGGGAAUAUUGGACAAUGGGCGAAAGCCUGAUCCAGCCAUGCCGCGUGUGUGAAGAAGGCCUUCGGGUUGUAAAGCACUUUCAGUGGGGAAGAAAGCCUUGGGGCUAAUACCCUCGAGGAAGGACAUCACCCACAGAAGAAGCACCGGCUAACUCCGUGCCAGCAGCCGCGGUAAUACGGAGGGUGCGAGCGUUAAUCGGAAUUACUGGGCGUAAAGCGCGCGUAGGCGGUCUGAUAAGCCGGUUGUGAAAGCCCCGGGCUCAACCUGGGAACGGCAUCCGGAACUGUCAGGCUAGAGUGCAGGAGAGGAAGGUAGAAUUCCCGGUGUAGCAGUGAAAUGCGUAGAGAUCGGGAGGAAUACCAGUGGCGAAGGCGGCCUUCUGGACUGACACUGACGCUGAGGUGCGAAAGCGUGGGUAGCAAACAGGAUUAGAUACCCCGGUAGUC